Myxocyprinus asiaticus (Chinese sucker) is the source of this 562-nucleotide long non-coding RNA. RefSeq lists it as uncharacterized. NCBI's taxonomy places the organism in Eukaryota, Metazoa, Chordata, Actinopteri, Cypriniformes, Catostomidae. The transcript has 4 exons. The record is from RefSeq and is a predicted model, not a curated record.
UCUCUGCCCCAACUUGAUUGAGGAACAGGGGAUGUGUAAUAGUCUUAACAGUAUCUACUCGACCAUCUGAUCCAUCUUCUCCCAAACAUCUAUCCUGACAUGUCCACCGGCAAUACAGCAGACUUACACGCCAUGGGAGAUCCUCCUAACUCUGUCAUGUCAAAAAUCAAAGACAGAGAAGCUUCCAAAAAUUGGACGUUUUGGACGACUAAAAAACUGAUUGAGAUAUUUUUGGAGAAGAUUCUUCCCAAAGACUGGCAGUUGGGCUAGACGCAAACACUGGCAGACACUGGGGCUGGUGAGACACACAGAGACGCACACUGUGACUGAAGACAGACACUGGCAGGCACUGGGUUUGAUGCUGAUGGAAGACAGAUCCCGGACCAUCAAAAAUAGAAGCGGGCUCUGAAGCCUUUUAUUUCUUUGGGGAAAUGCAAGCAUGCCCUGCAAAAGAGAAAUCUGUGUGAGGGUUGUCUACAGGAUGAAUGUAAGGCAGAACCAGAGUGCUCUUCUGAUGUUGUGUGUGUGGCUCCUGUGCACACAGUCAGUGUCCAGCAGCAAC